ACUCCUACGGGAGGCAGCAGUGGGGAAUAUUGGACAAUGGGGGCAACCCUGAUCCAGCGACGCCGCGUGUGUGAAGAAGGCCUGCGGGUUGUAAAGCACUUUUAGUGGGGAGGAAAACCCCCGACCUAACACGUCGGGAAUUGACUUAACCCACAGAAAAAGCACCGGCUAACUCUGUGCCAGCAGCCGCGGUAAUAC
This 198-nucleotide ribosomal RNA is filed under the name uncultured bacterium. RNAcentral's name for it is "partial 16S ribosomal RNA". It matches the Rfam family "Bacterial small subunit ribosomal RNA", at positions 335 to 526 of the family's 1533-position model. The record is from RNAcentral.